RNAcentral lists this ribosomal RNA (253 nucleotides) under uncultured bacterium. RNAcentral describes it as "partial 16S ribosomal RNA". It matches the Rfam family "Bacterial small subunit ribosomal RNA", at positions 524 to 776 of the family's 1533-position model. The record is from RNAcentral.
UACGGGGGGGGCAAGCGUUGUUCGGAAUUACUGGGCGUAAAGGGCUCGUAGGUGGCCAACUAAGUCAUGCGUGAAAUCCCUCGGCUUAACCGGGGAACUGCGUCUGAUACUGGAUGGCUUGAGUUUGGGAGAGGGAUGCGGAGUUCCAGGUGUAGCGGUGAAAUGCGUAGAUAUCUGGAGGAACACCGGUGGCGAAGGCGGCAUCCUGGACCAACACUGACACUGAGGAGCGAAAGCCAGGGGAGCAAACGGG